UUAAUUAAUUUAUUUAUAUGUAAAUUUUAGUAUUAAAUAAAUUUAGAUAGUUUAUUUAAAAAUAGCAGUAUUAAGUUUUAUUUAUUAAGAUAUUUUAGAAAUAGAAAUUUAAUUUAGUAUAAACAAAAUUUGUGCCAGCAGUUGCGGUUAUACAAAUUAUGCAAAUUAAAUUUAUUUAGUAUAAUUAAAUUGAUAUUUUAUACAUGAUUAUUAAUUUUAAAGUGAAAUUUAAAUUAAUAGAAAAAAUAUAAUAAUUAAUUUUGAGGUUAAGAAAUUUAAUAUUAAACUAGGAUUAGAUACCCUAUUAUUAUAAAUGUAAAUUUAUUCUAAAAUUAUUAAUAGUUAUGGUCUUUAAAAUUAAAAAAUUUGGCGGUAUUUUAGUCUAUUCAGAGGAACCUGUUUUAUAAUUGAUAGUCCACGAUAAGUUGUACUUUAAUUAUUAAUUUGUAUAUCGUCGUAAUUUGAAUAUCUUUUUAGAGUUAAAAUAUUCUAAAUUUAAAAUUUUAAAUUAAUUCAGAUCAUGGUGCAGUUUAUAUUAAAGUAAAAAUGGGUUACAUUUAAUAAAUUUUUGGUAUUUGUAUUUAAAAUAUAAAUUAAAUAGGAUUUGAAAGUAAUUUAAUUAAUUUAAUUUAAAUGAGUAUGUUCUAAAAUAUGCACAUAUCGCCCGUCGCUUUCAUUCUAAAAUGAAAUAAGUCGUAACAAAGUAGGCUUAUUGGAAAAUGAGCCUAGAAUGAU
This 735-nucleotide non-coding RNA is filed under the name Penthe kochi. Lineage: Eukaryota; Metazoa; Arthropoda; Insecta; Coleoptera; Tetratomidae. The record is from RNAcentral.